Long non-coding RNA from Lolium rigidum, 2902 nucleotides. RefSeq lists it as uncharacterized. Lineage: Eukaryota; Viridiplantae; Streptophyta; Magnoliopsida; Poales; Poaceae. The transcript is spliced from 2 exons. The record is from RefSeq and is a predicted model, not a curated record.
GCAAAUGCACUGCAAGAUGUUGAUAACCACAUUUUGCUUGGUCUCUGAGAGGUUAGUCAUCUCCUCUAUUCUCAUAUAAAUGUAAUUAAACUGCAUAUCCUUAUUUUAAUCCUGAUGCUUUGUUCUUAUUACAGCUCUGUACCACUGUUAACUUUAUGUAUAUAGUUCUCUUAUGGAAACAAACGUCGGCUUUGUUGGCUUGUAAGUGAAUGUCCUGAAGGUUACUGUUGCAGAUGAUUCUUAUGGAAGCAUGAUUUUUCUACUUAAAAUUGAACAAUUGUUUUAUUGGGGAUUUGUUGUUCCCCUCUUGUUCAUAAUUGUUACAAACAUCAAUUCCACAUAUUGACAUGCCAUUUUUUAUUCAGUUUUGACGAUCCUUGUCCACAUGGAGCAGGUAUACUUGACUAUAUGUUACCUGAAAUUAUCAAGAUUUUUUUCAGAAAAGCUGCAUAGGUGCCACUUUCUUUCAGUUUAUCAUGCGACUGCCCUAAUUAUUGGUAUUUUCCUACUUUUGGUAGUUCGGUUGGCCUGCAGUCCUCAUCCAUCUAUACCAGAUAACCAUUACUACAUGUACUAUUAUUAAUUUAUCAGAAUUAGCUCACAUCAGUUGGGAUAUAAUGGUAUGCUUCUAUUAUUAGAUUAGCCACUUCCCUCUGAAACCAAAUUGCUAAUUGGUUUUGGUCUGGAGAUCUAUCUGUGUUGCGCUCCUUCAGAUCUUGCAGCUCAAAGCAAUAAGUUCUCACUUUCAGCACCACACUACAGUUUUGGACAUUAUUUGUCUGUUAAAAAAAUAACAUGAGGCUCAGUUCUUUAGCUAUGAUUCCCCUUUGCAUAUUGUUAUUGCUCAUUUCUCCAAUGGUUGUAUUACGUGACUUAUUUCCCUACAUAAGUGUCACGGUGCUGUAACUCUAGAUGCUUGGACAUUAACAUUGCUUCUUGCAAAUUAUCUUUUUUGAAGUAAUAUAUGUGAUGAAUGACCUUUGUUGGUUGAGAAAGACUAGGUUACCUGAAUGAUUAUCAGAAAUGAUUAUUGUAUUUUAUUACCAGGCUGGUGGAUGCAUAGAUAGGAUAAGCAAGCAAGUGUUUGCUAGGGAAAGUGUUUGCUAGAUACAGGUUGGUGGAUCAUCAAUUAGAUAUUUCAUGGAAACCACUGAAGUUCUGAAGAGUUGUGAUCCCACUUUGGCAUGUGUUCUUUUGCUUGGCUGCAUCUGAAUUGUUUGUGCACUACUUUAACAUUGUUGACCCUAUAAUGUUCUUUGUUUGCAAUGCGGAAGUUUACAUUUUUGGUUUAGGUCAGACAUGGAUAAUAGUUUAGUGUACGUAUGAAUUGUACCUUUGUGCCUAUAUGUAAUUAUCAAUGUAUUCAAGACAUGAUAUUGCACAUUCAUUUCAAAUUGCGUCUUUUAUUACUUUAUAUAUGAAUGCAUGUUUAUUUUGUCUCUACAUCAUGGACCAUGUCCCUUUCAUCGUGCCAAGGUUUACCAUCCAGUUGGUUACAUUGGUACUAUUUAGUGACUCAUCGCAUUUUUUUGUAGAAAAAGACAGAGCCAUAUUUUUCAGACUGUUUGCUUUCAUUGCAGGAUCAUUAUUCAACUACAGCAUCACCACCUUGCCUUUCCAUGUAGUUAUCACACAACUGAUUUGAGAUGAAGUGAGUGCCUCCUCUUCUUUGUUCAAUUACAUUGUAAUCAUUUCUCUUAUGUGGAGAGAAGCUUGCAAGUUUGAGUGUUUUACUCUUGUGUCUUCAUCGAGGCCAUGUCAUUGACAUAGUCGGUUCAUCACACCUGUAGGUAUGUACACUCCAUGCUCCUCCAUAUUCCAUUACUUGGUUUGAUAUCUUAAUAUGUGAUCUGGUUGAGAAUGUGAGAUGGUGAGACAAUGAGAGACCAUGGGAAUCAGAGUUCCUAAGUAGUUUAUUCGUUCUUGUUGCUUGUUAAUGUGCUUAUCUUGAUUUUAGACAGUGAGAGACCAAUGGAUAAUUCCGUGACCUCUCUAAUACUUUUAGUUGAUAUCUUGAUUUGUUUAGAUGCAUCUUUUUCUGUGUUCAUUUGGAUUAGCUUACCCUAUUCCUUCUUGUUAUGCUCUCUAGCAGUAUUUCUCAUGAGAAUGACAGUGCCUACACACCCAAAGUGCGCUUUCUAUCUCUACCAUUGGGUACCAAUUAUUGGUUCUUACUUGAAACAAUGUAUCAUUUAGUCUUUGUUUUAUCCUCUUGAAGAUGUAUCUUUGUCCAUGCACAAAUUUAGUGCUACGGUGAACUUUCUAAUGCGUUUUGUAUGAUACUAUAACCUAAUCUCUUUUAAUACUAUCUGUUUUCGAUCCGUGGGUUUCCUUUUGUAAUACUUUGUUAGUAAAGUUCUGUAGUAAUUUUGAUAUGAACAAUAAGUUCUUAGCUAACCAGUCUGCCAAUAGUAAUGCCUAAAAUCAGAGUUGCUUGCAUUGACACACAGUUGUGCAUUUGUAAUUACUAUUAUGAUAUGCCACAUCCUUCUUUUAAUUAUCUUAUAUUUUUAUGUUUUAUUUAUGAAAAUAAAGGAACAUGUAUUAGCCAUAUUGUUUAAUUAUUGUUCCAGGCAAGAUAGUAAAAUAAAACAGUAAAGUAAUAAUGUUGCCGCUUUGUUACUUCGCCGCAUUUCAAUUUUCCGAAACCUAUUAACUAAGACUUUGUAAUUUUAUAGGACGGUACGCAUUCCCUGACUAUGAAGAUAUAAAAUGAUCCUAAGGCUAAGAGAAGGUUACAUGUUUAUUUUGGAGCGGUGUGAUGUCGUCGCACACUUAUUCAUGACAUUAUUGAUGUACCUUUUUUUGUAAAUUAUGUCACUCCCUGAAGCUAACAGUGAUAUGUAAUAAUAUAUUGUCAUGAUACCGCCUUCAUUAUUUUACGCGUUUGUAAAUCCUGGUA